Small nucleolar RNA from Boleophthalmus pectinirostris (great blue-spotted mudskipper), 87 nucleotides. RefSeq annotates it as small nucleolar RNA SNORD60. Lineage: Eukaryota; Metazoa; Chordata; Actinopteri; Gobiiformes; Gobiidae. The record is from RefSeq and is a predicted model, not a curated record. The transcript has a single exon.
UGCCUAUGAUGAAAAACUAGAUAUUUUCUGACACCUCAUAUGAGAGCUAAAAACAGCUCAUGAUUCUAAUCAAGAAGACUGAGGCAC